UGCUCGUUCUGGCUUCGAUUUGUUAUUAAUUACUGGUGCCAAUCAACUGGCAAAACUUCUGGCUACCUAGAGUUAUCAUUUCUAAUAGCAACAAAUACAAUAAGAAAAUAAUUUUUUCAGUCAAAUACACAUGGUUCUCACCAUGGAAAUCAUAAAAGUAGCCUUUACGGACAUCUUUGAGUCUUCAAUCAUCGAAGGAAACGAUUCCUAGCCUUGUCGUGGUAGAUUUCCCGUAUGAAUCAAAUGAUCCAUACAUGCAUUUUCUUCCUGUUUUCCAUUUUCUUGCUCUUCUUGUUCAUUUUCGCCCCUUGAUCUGACGUUACUUUAGUCAUGAGGCUUCUCUGCCUUGGACGAAAAAAAAAAAGGCCCCGACCCGGCAGACCCGCCAUUUUGAAAAUUGGCCUCAGCGGUCUUCAAAUAUUCGUAUAUGUAUUACGUAAUACGUCAUAAAUUGUCGUAAGUCUUUAAAGCCUGACAUCAGUGUCCAUAUCUCCUAUUUUCUAAGGUACUAGGAAGGAGAAUUUGUUAAAUAAUCCAGACCUUCUGUAGUUGUUGAUCAUAAUAUAUUUUUCUUGUGACCCUAACAUUCCAUGGGUGAUAAUGCGAGGAAAACUUAGAUGUAGAUGUUCGUCUGCACACUGAUUGAAGUGAGAGGGAGGCGAAGCGGGGCUUUUUCAAUGCAGCUUAAAUUAAUCUGUACACCCUAACAUCAGUACAGUCACCUCAAUGUGUGAUUCAUGAAUGACACUAUAAAGAGAAAUGAGUUUCUCUUCACUCUUUGGGUAAAAACACUAGACAAUGAAAUAAAAGUGGAAUAAGAACUCCCUUUUUCAACUUACAAAAUAUGCAUGUGCACACAUAUUAUAAUUAUGUUGAUGUUUUAAACUCCCAUGAGU
Long non-coding RNA from Stylophora pistillata, 896 nucleotides. Lineage: Eukaryota; Metazoa; Cnidaria; Anthozoa; Scleractinia; Pocilloporidae. The record is from RefSeq and is a predicted model, not a curated record.